CCAACGAAGCACCGGUAAAUAGCUGGGGUAACUAUGACUCUUAUCAAAGUAGCGAAAUACCUCGUCACUUAAUUAGUGACCUGCAUGAACGAAGCUAUGAGGUUCUCACUGUCCCAAACUGUCUCUCAGCGAACCAACUGUAGUGGGAACGGUCACUAGAUAUCCAGCGGGGAAAGAAGACCCUGUAGAGCUUCACUUUGGUCUAGUCUUGUAUAGUUCCUGCGGGGGUGUAGACUAGGUGGGAGAGCAAUCGAUUCUGAAAAACCACUACCCUGUUUGGAAUUAUGCUUACCUAUCACAAGGAAUAGGACUAGAUAGAAAGUUUGGCUGGGGCGGCACACCUUCGAAAGAGCAGCGAAGGUGUCCUAAGUUGAGCUCAGUGAGGACAGAAAUCUCACGUUGAGGAUAAGGCCAAAAGCUCAAUUUACUGUGCCUUUUUGUACUAGGAUCAGUUACGAAAGUAAGGCCUAACGAUCCCUAAAUAGCCUCAGGUGCGUGAGGAUUGGGGUGACAGACAAGUUACCUCCGGGACAACUGGCUUGUGGCUGCUAAGAGAUCAAAUCAACGCAGCUUUUUGAUUCUUCGAUGUCGGCUCUUCCUAUCCUAGUGAUGUACAAGUUGCUAAGGGUCGGAUUGUUCACCCGUAUUAGGGAUCGUGAGCUGGGUUUAGACCGUCGUGAGCCAGG
This 686-nucleotide non-coding RNA is filed under the name Trichomonas vaginalis G3. RNAcentral's name for it is "Eukaryotic large subunit ribosomal RNA". It matches the Rfam family "Eukaryotic large subunit ribosomal RNA", at positions 2232 to 2982 of the family's 3401-position model. The record is from Rfam by way of RNAcentral. Lineage: Eukaryota; Parabasalia; Trichomonadida; Trichomonadidae.